Molecule: transfer RNA, 72 nt
Filed under: Salmo salar (Atlantic salmon)
Lineage: Eukaryota; Metazoa; Chordata; Actinopteri; Salmoniformes; Salmonidae
Rfam family: tRNA
About the family: Transfer RNA (tRNA) molecules are approximately 80 nucleotides in length. Their secondary structure includes four short double-helical elements and three loops (D, anti-codon, and T loops). Further hydrogen bonds mediate the characteristic L-shaped molecular structure. tRNAs have two regions of fundamental functional importance: the anti-codon, which is responsible for specific mRNA codon recognition, and the 3' end, to which the tRNAs corresponding amino acid is attached (by aminoacyl-tRNA synthetases). tRNAs cope with the degeneracy of the genetic code in two manners: having more than one tRNA (with a specific anti-codon) for a particular amino acid; and 'wobble' base-pairing, i.e. permitting non-standard base-pairing at the 3rd anti-codon position.
Source: Rfam by way of RNAcentral
UCCUGCGUGGCUCAGUUGGUAGAGCAUGGUGUUUGCAACGCCAAGGUUGUGGGUUCAAUUCCCACGUGGGAC